This 372-nucleotide ribosomal RNA is filed under the name Philodryas psammophidea. Its description in RNAcentral is "partial 16S ribosomal RNA". It matches the Rfam family "Bacterial large subunit ribosomal RNA", at positions 1951 to 2537 of the family's 2925-position model. Lineage: Eukaryota; Metazoa; Chordata; Lepidosauria; Squamata; Dipsadidae. The record is from RNAcentral.
CAAAGGUAGCAUAAUCAUUUGUCUAUUAAUUGUAGACCUGUAUGAAAGGCAAAAUGAGGGUUUAACUGUCUCUUAUAGUAAAUCAAUUAAACUGAUCUCUUAGUAAAAAAGCUAGGAUAUCCUCAUAAGACCAGAAGACCCUGUGAAGCUUUAACUAAACUAUUAAACCCAGUAAUAACUACUUUCGGUUGGGGCGACCUUGGAAAAAAAUAGAACUUCCAAACACAGUGACUAUAAACCACACUAUCACGGCCCACAAGCCAAAUUAGACCCAGCACAGCUGAUAAUUGAACCAAGUUACUCCAGGGAUAACAGCGCCAUCUUCUUCAAGAGUCCAUAUCAAAAAGAAGGUUUACGACCUCGAUGUUGGAU